AAACGGCAAGCAUCAACUGAGGCAAGGUCAGCAAAUUUACUAUUCUUUCUGCAGACAGAUUUGAUUGAGUGGUAGCAAAAGCAUGUUUUUCUUUGUGACCCCAACUGCUUUGGUUGGUAGAGAACGAUCUGAAAGCUCGUGCUAUGCUUUUCACACGGGGAUGCUUGAACCGGCGGCAAAACCGGGCAUAUUUUGUGUAGGUAGUAGUGAAACUCCAUACCCAGUCAAAUAUGAGCAGCAGAUUGGUAAACAGAUGAAUAGUCUAAGAGAGUUAAAUUAAAAGAAAGAAUAAUAUAUAGAAAAUUCCAUCACUUGAUGCCUCCCUUGUAGAUAGAAUUAUAUGACUAGUUAGUAGCUAGAAUCAAUUCACAUAUGCGAAAGGAGCUCCAUCUGGAGAUGCAGUUAGGUAUGGAAUUUGACUUUUUAUUGCUUGGUUACAUUACUCGAGUUAUUCGCUGUUUGUCAUCUGUGUCCUCGAUCAUCUCCUCAAUAGAUGCCUAUAUAUCUUCUGAGACAUUGAACUUGUAUUAUGAUGAACCCGUUCAUAUAGAACAGAAGGAUUUAACUUAUGAUUUAUUCCCGUAUACACCAUCAAUUUGCUCCCUUAAGUGUAACCCUAGCUCCCUCCUAAGUAAUCUUCAUAUAUAGUAAUAAAAUU
RNAcentral lists this long non-coding RNA (658 nucleotides) under Glycine max (soybean). RNAcentral describes it as "long non-coding RNA (GMAX_LNC004436)". The record is from RNAcentral. Lineage: Eukaryota; Viridiplantae; Streptophyta; Magnoliopsida; Fabales; Fabaceae.